Musa acuminata AAA Group (dessert banana) is the source of this 1625-nucleotide RNA transcript. It is a transcript of the gene named bifunctional protein FolD 4, chloroplastic, with no coding region annotated. The transcript is spliced from 6 exons. NCBI's taxonomy places the organism in Eukaryota, Viridiplantae, Streptophyta, Magnoliopsida, Zingiberales, Musaceae. The record is from RefSeq and is a predicted model, not a curated record.
UUUAGUUCCGCGGCAGAAAACCCGUGUCACGAAUCCGCCGCAUCCACUCUCCCGCGGCAACACCCUAACCUUCCAAGGAACCGCUUCCCCUCCCCCCUCCCCCCUUCUCAGCGGGGUAUGGCUCCGUCGGUGAUGUCGGAUUUCUCGUCCUCGGCCACCGCCCGGCUUCUUCCCUUCCGGUGCACUGUCCCUAUCAGGGCUUUCCAAUUCCAGCCGUCGGUUUCCAUCCAACUGACGCCCUUGCGCCUGAACGCGUCUCGAUCGACCUUGUCGCGGUGCUGUAGUUCAUCUGCUGUCGCCGCAGUGGCAACAAAUACGGAUACUCUUGCCAAGGUUAUUGAUGGGAAGUUGGUCUCAAAGCAAAUAAAAGAUGAAGUUGCUGGGGAAGUAGCCGGUAUGAAGGAAGCAAUUGGUGUCGUUCCUGGUUUGGCAGUCAUUCUUGUGGGCUCAAGGAAGGAUUCUCAAACUUAUGUCCGCAAUAAGAAGAAGGCUUGUGAAGCAGUGGGUAUAAAAUCUUAUGAAGUUAAUUUGCCUGAGGACAGCACAGAGGAAGAAGUGAUUAAGCAUAUUUUAGAAUUCAACAAUGAUCCAUCAGUUCAUGGGAUUCUUGUUCAGUUGCCUCUCCCUCGUCAUAUGAAUGAGGAGAACAUUUUGAAUGCUGUUAACAUUGAGAAAGAUGUGGAUGGUUUCCAUCCGUUGAAUAUUGGUCGUCUUGCUAUGCAAGGUAGGGACCCCUUGUUUGUUCCUUGUACUCCUAAGGGAUGCAUGGAAUUAUUAUACAGGCAUGGAGUUGAAAUCAAGGGGAAGAGAGCUGUUGUUAUCGGCAGGAGCAAUAUUGUUGGAAUGCCUGCUGCAUUGCUGCUGCAAAAAGCAAAUGCAACCGUCAGCAUAGUCCACUCUCAUACUAAAAAUCCUGAGGAAGUUACAAGACAAGCGGAUAUUGUGAUUUCAGCUGCUGGGGUUGCCAACUUGGUAAGAGGCAGCUGGAUAAAGCCAGGGGCAGUCGUGAUAGAUGUCGGAAUAAAUCCAGUUGAUGAUGCAGAAAGCCCUCGAGGUUAUGGGCUGGUUGGUGAUGUCUGCUACGAAGAGGCUUGUACGGAAGCUUCCGCUAUCACCCCAGUUCCUGGUGGAGUUGGUCCGAUGACAAUCGCCAUGCUUUUAUCCAAUACACUUGAAUCUGCCAAAAGGAUACACAAUUUCAAGUGACACAACUUCAUGCCCUCUGAUCGACCUUCGCAAACGACACUUCUGAUGGAGUUACCAAGUUGUCACAAAGCCAUCCCUAUCCUUGCUGCGGUCGCCUGUCUCCUUUCCCUCUCUCACAGUCUCACCCAUAGCCUUCGCUCCGCCGCCCUCUCGUCCUUCUCUUGUUUCCUUCUGUUGGCGUCACCUUCUCUUGGCCGUCCUCCCAUCCUUUGGUCGCCUUCCAUCAUCUACUUGAGUUUCUCAUUUUCGAAUCUCAAUUUUACUUAUCGUUUUGUUACUUUGAUCAGAUUAUCGUUACAUUUUUUUGGGGGGGGGGGGUUGCAUCUUUUAUCGAUUCAAGAACUCCGUCAUUGAAUUGUAUUUUACUGCAAGUGGUACGUUAAAUUAACCUUUGUUCAGGACCGUACCUUUCUUCUGCA